Molecule: long non-coding RNA, 963 nt
Organism: Megalobrama amblycephala (Wuchang bream)
Lineage: Eukaryota; Metazoa; Chordata; Actinopteri; Cypriniformes; Xenocyprididae
Exons: 2
Source: RefSeq, a predicted model, not a curated record
GCCAGACUGCCUUGUUUGCUUGCAUGUGUGGGUGCAAAUGUUUAUAGCACCUCUGCAUGUUCAUAGAGGUUAGCGUUAACCUACCGUGCUUUAGAGUGUUUGCGCAUGGGUAUGCAUGUAGGAGGUCUUCCCCGAAGGUUUACAAGCACGUGGGUUGCGUGUUUUGUGGGGGUGCUUCUGUAAUAUCAUAAUUUGUGUUUUUAUGUUUGUGUUUUUGCUGUAAAUACUGAAAAUGAGCAGUUGUUUCCUUUCUUGUUAGGAAACACAUAAUGGCACUACAUCCUGGCUGAUAUCACUGGAUUGGGAAUACGGAGAAGUCACAAUUGUGACAGCCAUAGGGUCUAUAAACACCGGGGGGAAAAAACAUUUGGCUUGUGCAUUUCAGCCAAUCAGAACGCUCUGGGGCAUCUCUCUCAGUACAUGUACUAAGGCAGCAGUUGUGGUCAUUGACACCAUGUGUGGAGGUCAGGACCCAUUUGUCCAGUCCAGCCCACCAGCGACAUAGUCCUCCACCCUCCCAACACUGUCUCUGCAUCAGGAGUCCAUGAAGACAUCCGGCUAAUGACAGCAGACUGCAGGAUGCAGGAACAGCCCUUCACUGGAGCCAGAGAGAGCCUGUUAGCCAUGGAUAAUGAAUGAUAUUACUCUUUCAGGGUUGGGGCUUUUGUCUCAUUACUUCUGAAGACAUAAGGGACUCCAGUAGUAUUGACACUACUAUAAAGACUUUAGGCCUGAUGGGCCGUACUGUCCAUCUGCUAUUAUCCCGAUCCUCAGCUGGGUAUAGAGGCAUCAAGUUUGGGAUUAAUGGGGAGUUCUUCCGUUAGAUUGAUGUGUCUGUACUGUGCUGAUUAAUGCAUCAAUCGCAUCUCUCUGCUCUCUUUUUAUUCUUUCUCAGGCCAUUUAUCAUUUUGAAUUGCAAUGUGUUUACUUGGCGAUCGUCUUGUGUUUCUUGAUGGAGGCAUG